Molecule: unclassified non-coding RNA, 300 nt
Filed under: uncultured Sordariomycetes
Lineage: Eukaryota; Fungi; Ascomycota; Sordariomycetes
Description: sequence contains ITS1
Rfam family: 5.8S ribosomal RNA (bases 1-105)
Source: RNAcentral
GAAAUGCGAUAAGCAAUGUGAAUUGCAGAAUUCAGAGAAUCAUCGAAUCUUUGAACUCACAUUGCGGCCGCCAGUAUUCUGGCGGGCAUGCCUGUUCGAGCGUCAUUUCAACCAUCAAGCCCCAGGCUUGUGUUGGGGACCUGCGGCUGCCGCAGGCCCUGAAAACCAGUGGCGGGCUCUCUGUCACACCGGGCGUAGUAGAUUUUAUCUCGCUCAGGGCGUGCUGCGCGUUCCGGCCGUUAAAAGCCUUUUUUACCCAAGGUUGACCCCGGAUCAGGUAGGAAUACCCGCUGAACUUCA